RNAcentral lists this ribosomal RNA (253 nucleotides) under uncultured bacterium. RNAcentral describes it as "partial 16S ribosomal RNA". It matches the Rfam family "Bacterial small subunit ribosomal RNA", at positions 524 to 776 of the family's 1533-position model. The record is from RNAcentral.
UACGUAAGUGGCGAGCGUUAUCCGGAAUCACUGGGCGUAAAGCGUGCGUAGGCGGUGCAGCAAGUUGGAAUUGAAAUCCCUGGGCUCAACUCAGGACCCGGUCCCAAAACUGCUGUACUAGAGCGUAUCAGAGGACAGCGGAAUUCCCGGUGUAGCGGUAAUAUGCGUAGAUAUCGGGAGGAACACCAGUGGCGUAGGCGGCUGUCUGGGGUAUUGCUGACGCUGAGGCACGAAAGCCAGGGGAGCGAACGGG